AUGGAGCAAGUCGUCUACCUCGUACUGGCCAUCGGGUCGCUGCUCGUCGUCCUGCUCGCCUGGCGCCGACGCAGGGGCGGCAAGGACAAGCUGCGGCUGCCGCCGGGGCCGUGGACGCUGCCGGUGAUCGGCAGCAUGCACCACAUCGUCGGGGCGCUCCCGCACCGGGCCAUGCGCGACCUGGCGCGGCGGCACGGGUGGCCGGUCAUGCUGCUCCGGCUCGGCGAGGUGCCCACGCUGGUGGUCUCGUCCCGGGAGGCGGCGCGCGAGGUGAUGAAGACCCACGACGCCUCGUUCGCGACGCGGCCGCUGAGCUCCACCGUGCGCGUGCUCACCAAGGGCGGCCGGGACAUCGUCUUCGCGCCCUACGGCGACUACUGGCGCCAGAUGCGCCGCAUCGCCGUCACCGAGCUCCUCACGACGCGCCGCGUCCUCUCCUUCCGUGCCAUCCGGGAGGAGGAGGUCGCUGCCAUGCUCCGGGCCGUCGCAUCCGCCGGGAACGGCGGCGCCGUGGUCGACAUGCGCGCGCGGCUGUCCGCGCUCGUGGCCGACAGCACGCUGCGCGUCGUGAUUGGCGACCGCUGCAGCGGCCGCGACGUGUUCCUCCGGGAGCUCGAACGCUCCGUCGGGCUCGUCGCGGGGUUCAACCCCGCCGACCUGUGGCCGUCGUCACGGCUCGCCGCCUGGGCUAGCGGCGCCGUCCGCCGCGCCGAGGAGUGCCGUGACACCGUAUUCGGGAUCCUCGACGGCAUUAUCGCCGAGCACCAGGAGAGGAUGGGCGCCGGUGCCGGCGACGCCGAGGACCUUAUCGACGUGCUCCUGAGGAUACAGAAGGACGGUGGCCUCCAGUUUCCACUCGACAUGGACUGCAUCAAAGCCGUAGUAUUUGACAUGUUUGGUGCCGGCAGUGAGACGUCGACGACAACACUGGAGUGGAUAAUGGCGGAACUGGUCAAGAACCCAAAGGUGAUGCAUCGAGCGACAGCGGAGGUGCGGCGAGCCUUCGAGGCCGGCGGCAAGGUGGUCGAACAGCAGCUCGGCGAGCUCGUCCCGUACCUGCACCUCGUCAUCCGGGAGACACUACGGCUGCACACGCCGCUGCCGCUGCUGCUCCCCCGGGAGUGCCGAGAGGAGCCGGCGUGCAGGGUGCUCGGCUACGACGUGCCCAAGGGCACGCAGGUGCUGGUCAACGCCUGGGCGCUGGGCCGCGACGAGCGGUACUGGCCUGAUAAGCCUGAGGAGUUUCGUCCGGAGCGCUUCGAGGCGGCCGGCGACGGCGCGGCGGCGGAGGUGGACUUCAGGGGCGUGGACUUCGAGUUCCUGCCGUUUGGUGCAGGUAGGAGGAUGUGCCCCGGAAUGGCGUUCGGGCUCGCCAACGUGGAGCUCGCGCUCGCCAGCUUGCUGCUACACUUCGACUGGGAAGCGCCCGACGGGUCGCUCGACAUGACCGAGGCGUUUGGCAUCACCGCGAGGCGGAAGGCCGGCCUCCUGCUCCGCCCCAUCAUGCGCUUCCGUGUCCCGGGUAACUAG
This 1530-nucleotide ribosomal RNA is filed under the name Triticum aestivum (bread wheat). Its description in RNAcentral is "partial small subunit ribosomal RNA". Lineage: Eukaryota; Viridiplantae; Streptophyta; Magnoliopsida; Poales; Poaceae. The record is from RNAcentral.